Long non-coding RNA from Amaranthus tricolor (Joseph's coat), 1751 nucleotides. RefSeq lists it as uncharacterized. The record is from RefSeq and is a predicted model, not a curated record. Lineage: Eukaryota; Viridiplantae; Streptophyta; Magnoliopsida; Caryophyllales; Amaranthaceae. The transcript is spliced from 7 exons.
UCCCUGCCGUUUGGAGUGCUCUGCCUCUGCCUCAUGCAAAAAGCAGGUCAUCCUCAAAACUCCAAAAGUAAAAUACCCAUUCGAAAAAUUGAAAUUCCAAAAUCUUUCUAACUUCAAAGAAAUUUCAUCAAAUGGUGAAAGCAUGAAUAUCCAAAUCUUGCUAGUCGAGUUGUUUCUUGGGUCACUUUAGGGAUAGUUGCUGCUUUGAUGCCAUAUGUUGGUGGAGAAAGUGGUUAACUUUGAUACAGAAGAUCCUCAUCCCAGAAAUAGCUUAAUUUUGUGUUAGAACUUGGAUGCUUUUCUUCUAAAAUAUCAUAGACCCCCUAAAAAUUUCAAGUAUUGUUUGGACAGAGGCCGCGCGUACGCAGGCCCCCACUAUCACAAAUUAUGACGUAGACUCUCCCAUUUGGGGAGAUCUUAGGCUGCUGCUCCUCCUUAAAGUGCAAUGGAAGUCAACAACCUAGGCCAUAAGCCUAUUUGAUCACUUAUAGACCCCAUCCAGAGGGAGAUGCACAAAAAAAGGUUCAUCCUCGUUUAUGUACAUGAUCAUGGGUUGUAGAUAGACUCCAAGCAACAACUGAGCGUUGUUCUUCAUCUUGAACUGAUGUUGUGCGACGUUUCUUCUCAGUACUGUAAACAGCUCCAACAGUUUAAAAGCUGAACAAUACCAAUUGUUGGAUGCUUCAGAGGCUGAAUAUUUUUUAAAAAGGCAAGAGUUUUGGAUACUGGAAGAUGUGAAGCUGAACGAGAAACCAGAAGGCGUGUGACAUUGAGACCUUCUGAGGAGAUCAGGAGAAUAUUGAGAGAGCAGAUGAGUAUACUUUAUGCUGAUACUGUACGUGUAAAAGUGAUACCACCAUACCAGAAGAAAGGAACCGAUUUCUGCAAUGUAAAACAGAAACAUUAGAGGCCGCGCGAACGCAGGCCCCCACUACCACAAAUUAUGACGUAGACUCUCCCAUUUGAGGAGAUCUUAGGCUGCUGCCCCUCCUUAAAGUGCAAUGGAAGUCAACAACCUAGGCCAUAAGCCUAUUUGAUCACUUAUAGACCCCGUCCAGAGAGGAGAUGCACAAAAAAGGUUGAUCCUCGUUUAUGUACAUGAUCAUGGGUUGUAGAUAGACUCCAAGCAACAUUUGAGCGUUGGGCUUCAUCUUGAACUGAUGUUGUGCGACAUUUCUUCUCAGUACUGUAAACAGCUCCAACAGUUUAAAAGCUGAACAAUACCAAUUCUUGGAUGCUUCAGAUGCUGAAUAUUUUUUAAAAAGGCAAGAGUUUGGAUACUGGAGCGGGAAUGUAUGAACGCAAAGAAAAUACUUGAACUCACAAAAGAAAUUGUAGUAAACACGCAAAUGGGGAUUAUAAAGUGGAUGAUGGUCAAGAUAAAAGUGCGAUGUAAUGGAUUUUUAGAAGCGUAAAGAGAGCAAAAAAAACAGAGGAAACAGGGGAGUGGGUUCAGGGAAGGAAAUUUUGGCAAUGUCUAUUCAUUGCAACACUAGUAGUGUAAAAAGGUGUUAAUUCGGAUUAUCGAGUUGAUCUCGGGUUAGAUAUUUUGGAUCUUUUUAAAAUCGGGUUUUGUAUCUAUAUUGGUUUGUACAUCGUUUUAAAUUGAUUUUGAAGUCGGAUAAAUAUUGGGUCAAUUUUCAAUACCUCUUACUAGUACAUAUUCGAGAGGUUAUUUUAUUAUGGAGACAUUUUUGAGCCAUUUGCACAUUUACAAGGAAAAUACUGUAAAUGUUCCAAAGAGACAGUUU